RNAcentral lists this transfer RNA (90 nucleotides) under Desulfobacterales bacterium. RNAcentral describes it as "tRNA-Ser". It matches the Rfam family "tRNA". From Rfam's summary of the family: Transfer RNA (tRNA) molecules are approximately 80 nucleotides in length. Their secondary structure includes four short double-helical elements and three loops (D, anti-codon, and T loops). Lineage: Bacteria; Pseudomonadati; Thermodesulfobacteriota; Desulfobacteria; Desulfobacterales. The record is from RNAcentral.
GGAGAGGUGGCAGAGUGGUUGAAUGCGGCGGUCUCGAAAACCGUUGUGGGGGCAACUCCACCGGGGGUUCGAAUCCCCCCCUCUCCGCCA